UACGGGGGGAGCAAGCGUUGUUCGGAUUUACUGGGCGUAGAGGGCGCGUAGGCGGUCGUGACAAGUCACUUGUGAAAUCUCCGGGCUUAACUCGGAACGGUCAAGUGAUACUGUCGGACUAGAGUACAGAAGGGGCAACUGGAAUUCUCGGUGUAGCGGUGAAAUGCGUAGAUAUCGAGAGGAACACCUGCGGCGAAGGCGGGUUGCUGGGCUGAUACUGACGCUGAGGCGCGAAAGCCAGGGGAGCGAACGGG
This 254-nucleotide ribosomal RNA is filed under the name uncultured bacterium. RNAcentral's name for it is "partial 16S ribosomal RNA". It matches the Rfam family "Bacterial small subunit ribosomal RNA", at positions 524 to 776 of the family's 1533-position model. The record is from RNAcentral.